This is a non-coding RNA of Phalacrocorax carbo (great cormorant), 1721 nucleotides long. Lineage: Eukaryota; Metazoa; Chordata; Aves; Suliformes; Phalacrocoracidae. The record is from RefSeq and is a predicted model, not a curated record.
GGGCUAUACUCAAUAGGAGAUCCAGGAACUGCCUUCAGUCUCAAGUAUUCACACUUAUAAAGCAGAACUUCAAGAAAUGGUUCAGACGUCUGUGUGUACACAGUUGCAGGUGUAUGUGCAGGGUCUGGUUUGGAUCUGAUACUUCUUUCAUCUCAUCCAUUCCUAGGGAGGCAGCGUUGAGCAUUUCAUAUCUCUGGAGUCCGUUUCCUUUAGCGGCUCCUUGUCAUUUCCUAGCAGGGUUUGUCUCUGUAUGUGAAGGCACAGCUGGAGAGGGGUGGCGUUUGUCCUUUUUUUCCUACAGCUACCCAGUCUGUGUGCGUGGAAUCUGUCAAGGAGGCUGCAGGCCUGGGUCACAAUGCGGAGCAGUAGAACAGGGUGACCUCAAACUCUUCCCAAGACACAAAUCAUCUCCCUGGUUUAAAUUUUGUACUUCUUGGGGUUUUAGAUGUAUAUUCUUUUUCACUUUUUGCUUCUUGGAAAUUAAAUUUAUAAGGAAUGGAGAACUGAGAAGCAAAACUGUGUUUUAGGCUAAUGAGAAGUGGCAGGAAAAGGGCAGAAGCACGUCCACAGGUAGGGAAGGUGCUAGAGAUAAAAUGAACCAAAGUUAAACCUUGCUCAAAGUUUGCAGCAAAGGAGCAGCUGCAGGUAAAGAAAGGGCAAUAUCAGAGGCAAAGCUGGUGUUUAUACAGCAGCUGUGAAAUCAAGGGCAGGUACUAAUAGACUUCCUUCAAUUUGUAUCACACUAUAGCUGUCAUUUAACAAUAAUGUUAAAUAGCGCUGAAAGCUGAACUUAAAAUGUACUUUUCUAGACUGAUUUCACAAAAACUCCCAUCCAAGCUGUGAUAAAGCUGGCGCUAUUUAUCAACAGAAUGAGGACUGGGUCCUCUAGGAAGACCACAUCUUACCAUGGGAAUCUCUACCUUUGUUUGCUAAAGGCAUGCUGUCAAAAUGAUACCUGCUUAUUUCCUAAAAUGAACUAAAAGUAGCUUGAGGAUUACACCUGUCUUUGUCAAUUUCUGUCAUUAAACAACUCCCUGUCUCCAGUUUCAUGCUUUAUUCCCUGCUGGUGUCUAAAGGAUGCAUGCUGACAGCUGAGGAAAGCGACUGUUGUGAAACACUGGCACUGCCUGUGGGGCCGUGAUCAGCAGCAAGACUAACUGGUGAGAUGCAUUAAAGUAUUUCUGGGAGCUAGAGACCACCACAAUCAACAGCACAACUGCAGAACUGAAUCCUUCCUUCAAAACCUCACAGGCCAUAGUGGAUCGUCAUCAAUCCCCAGAGCCCUUCUAACGUCUGAGAAAGAAAAAGCUGCAGAAUAAUAUCUACACCAUAAAAUUGCUCUAAAAAUAACAGCUAAUCUCCUGUUUGAGAUGUUAAUUUAUAGAAGGAAAAGCUUUGGAAUAAGCCCCAAACCUUGUAAUUAAGUGACUUUUUUUUUCUUGAGAUAUAUAAGCAAUUCUUCAGUCCUUUGCUGAGAAAGUCUGUGCUGUGUUCUACACCCAGAUCUUCCAGAACUAGCUAGAAGGUAUUCCACACCAGUCCACAUGUAAGAAAAAGCUUUUCAUCAGUCUGAAGUAAGGUAUAAACAACCUCAGGAAGUUUGGAAUAUGUUAUUAAAACUGUUCUCUAGUAUCCUUGUUACAGGGUGUUUUGGCAUCAUGUCCUUUGGAGUAAGCUUGUUAUGUAAGUCACUUGUUGGCUAGCCUCUGAUCUGUCCCAUG